RNAcentral lists this transfer RNA (72 nucleotides) under Monacoa niger. Its description in RNAcentral is "Monacoa sp. JYP-2016b tRNA-Ile". It matches the Rfam family "tRNA". Rfam says of the family: Transfer RNA (tRNA) molecules are approximately 80 nucleotides in length. Their secondary structure includes four short double-helical elements and three loops (D, anti-codon, and T loops). The record is from RNAcentral. Lineage: Eukaryota; Metazoa; Chordata; Actinopteri; Argentiniformes; Opisthoproctidae.
GGAAUUAUGCCCGAAUGUUUAAGGACCACUUUGAUAGAGUGAUAAAUGAGGGUUCAAGUCCCCCUAAUUCCU